This 1689-nucleotide long non-coding RNA is filed under the name Mytilus galloprovincialis (Mediterranean mussel). The record is from RNAcentral. Lineage: Eukaryota; Metazoa; Mollusca; Bivalvia; Mytilida; Mytilidae.
AUUUGUUUCGUUUCCAUGGCAACGGCAGCCAUCUUGAUGGUGCCAUACCCCACUGCACUAUAGAAUGUGGUUGUCUACAUUAUGGUAUAGUUCCAUCAAUAUUGUUCAAGCCAAUUCCGAGAAAUAGAAUGGACAAAAAAGUGUGGAAGAAUAAAAAUAAUAAUAAUAAUAAUAAUAAUAUAAAACUAGAUUUGCUAUUGCUAGCAAUAGCUGAGGAUGGCACCCCGUACUGCACAUGGUCACAGUAGCAUCAAUACUUAUGAGUGUACAAAAGUCAAAUAUCUAUUAUACAUGUGGGAAUCAGCAUUUCUUCACACACACGACAACAACCCCCCCCCUUUUUUUUCUCUUCCGUUGAAUACGUUUCAGUUCUAUACAUAGUUUGGGAAUCCUUUUAAAUCUAAAAUUAGACACGCGCGCAAGUAGGAAGGUGGUGUCACGUGAUACUCAAGGAUAUUAUCGUGGACUUAGCAUAUUAAUAUUCUUUCUAGAGGGGACGUUGGACAGACAACACGUGUAUAUAUUGACGGAGCGGCGUACUAACUGUUCUAUUUAUUCUUCAAUAGCUCGCGUAUCACACAAUACAUGUAACUUAUCGUGUACAAUUAAAUUACAUGUUUAUCGAUUGAUUUCAGCUAAUGUGUAGAUUUUAACAGGUGUGUCAUUCACGGAUAUGUACUUUAACGCAAGUGCAGAAAUGUCAGUAAUAUGUACUCUGAGUGUUUCUCAUUCUGUCGGUGGCGAUUUUCUCUUAAAAGCGCGAUUGUUGUAUAGAAAAGAAGCACGUUAAAUAAAAUACAUAUUUUUAUUCUAGCAUAUUCUAGUACAGGUUAGCAGUACAGCAUUACGUGCACAUACUCCUGAUUACGAUAUGCGUGGAAUUGUUGUUAUAUUUAAAAAAAAAAUGCAGCUUAAGAGUGUUUUCCCGUAGGGUCAAUGUUAAACUUUUGUCCAGUUUCCAUGGCAAUGGCGGCCAUUUUGGAAUUUCCUAAUAUGGUCAUAACAUGUAGGCAUACCAAUAUAUCAUCUAAUGUCUCUAGAACAAAUUUAACAUUGAUGUUCUGGAAUGUUCUGUGAAAAUUCAAAGUUUUGACCUUUUUGCAUUGUUUCCAUGGUAAUAACAGAUAUUUUGGAAAUUCCAACGCCAAAUUCCACAUCUUCCAAUGUUGCUCAUCGUUACUGUGAAGUUUCAUUAAGUUCGGAACAUUUUGAGAUUUUUGAAAUUUUUGGUGUUGUUUCCAUGGCAACAUAGUAGUUCCAAUGAGUGCCAAAAUCAUCCAAACACCUGUAUAUAGUGGGCACCUACAUUGUAUUAAAAUAUAAUGGUUCUGAGUUAAAGCCUAUCCAAAUAGUUCACCAAAACAAAAAACGGGAUUUUUUCACAUUUGUUUCGUUUCCAUGGCAACGGGAGCCAUCUUGAUGGUGCCAUAUCCCACUGCACUAUAGAAUGUGGUGGUCUACAUUAUGGUAUAGUUCCAUCAAUAUUGUUCAAGCCAAUUCCGAGAAAUAGAAUGGACAAAAAAGUGUGGAAGAAUAAAUAUAAUAAUAUAAUAAGAAAAAAAGAAACGAACAAUAACAAUAUGUCACCCCAACUCCGUUGAGGGUGCCAUAAAAAAAGAAACGAACAAUAACAAUAUGUCACCCCAACUCCGUUGAGGGUGCCAUAAUAAUAAUAAUAUAGGAAAAGAA